CCUACGGGUGGCAGCAGUGGGGAAUAUUGGACAAUGGGCGAAAGCCUGAUCCAGCCAUGCCGCGUGUGUGAAGAAGGCCUUCGGGUUGUAAAGCACUUUCAGUGGGGAAGAAAGCCUUGGGGCUAAUACCCUCGAGGAAGGACAUCACCCACAGAAGAAGCACCGGCUAACUCCGUGCCAGCAGCCGCGGUAAUACGGAGGGUGCGAGCGUUAAUCGGAAUUACUGGGCGUAAAGCGCGCGUAGGCGGUCUGAUAAGCCGGUUGUGAAAGCCCGGGCUCAACCUGGGAACGGCAUCCGGAACUGUCAGGCUAGAGUGCAGGAGAGGAAGGUAGAAUUCCCGGUGUAGCGGUGAAAUGCGUAGAGAUCGGGAGGAAUACCAGUGGCGAAGGCGGCCUUCUGGACUGACACUGACGCUGAGGUGCGAAAGCGUGGGUAGCAAACAGGAUUAGAUACCCUAGUAGUC
RNAcentral lists this ribosomal RNA (464 nucleotides) under Vreelandella stevensii. RNAcentral's name for it is "partial 16S ribosomal RNA". It matches the Rfam family "Bacterial small subunit ribosomal RNA", at positions 338 to 795 of the family's 1533-position model. The record is from RNAcentral. Lineage: Bacteria; Pseudomonadati; Pseudomonadota; Gammaproteobacteria; Oceanospirillales; Halomonadaceae.